GACGAACGCUGGCGGCGUGCUUAACACAUGCAAGUCGAACGGUGAAGCGCCUUCCUUUUUGGUGGGUGUGGAUGAGUGGCGAACGGGUGAGUAACACGUGAGUAACCUGCCCCCUUCUUCUGGAUAACCGCAUGAAAGUGUGGCUAAUACGGGAUAUUCUGGGUCUGUCGCAUGAUGGGUCUGGGAAAGAUAUUGUUUCGGUGGGGGAUGGGCUCGCGGCCUAUCAGCUUGUUGGUGGGGUGAUGGCCUACCAAGGCGGUGACGGGUAGCCGGCCUGAGAGGGUGGACGGUCACACUGGGACUGAGACACGGCCCAGACUCCUACGGGAGGCAGCAGUGGGGAAUAUUGCACAAUGGGCGCAAGCCUGAUGCAGCGACGCCGCGUGAGGGAUGGAGGCCUUCGGGUUGUGAACCUCUUUCGCCAGUGAAGCAGGCCUGCCUCGUUUGUGGGUGGGUUGACGGUAGCUGGAGAAGAAGCGCCGGCUAACUACGU
RNAcentral lists this ribosomal RNA (493 nucleotides) under uncultured bacterium. RNAcentral describes it as "partial 16S ribosomal RNA". It matches the Rfam family "Bacterial small subunit ribosomal RNA", at positions 28 to 506 of the family's 1533-position model. The record is from RNAcentral.